CACACGAUAUUCUCCCAAUUCUCUUCUGGAUCAUCCAUAUGCUUUCUAGCAAACCUCAGACGGGCCUGGACUUGUCCUGCCUGAAGCAGGGGGCAUGCCUGGUGCUGCAGGAUUUGAGUCUCUCUCGGUGUAGCGUGUUACUGACGGCAGGCUUUGAUACUUUGGUCCCAGCUCUCGGCAGGUCAUUCAUCAGGUCCCUCCGUGUAGUUCUGGGAUUUUUGCUCGUCGUUCUCAUAAUAAUUUUGACCCCACAGGAUGAACUCUUGCAUGGGGCCCCAGAUCAACGGUCUUGUUUGUCUUCCAUUGUCUUACAAUUGCUCCCACAGUAGAUUUAUUCACACCAACCUGCUUGCCUAUUGUAGAUUCACUCUUCCCAGCCCAGUGCAGGUAAUACAGUUUUCUUCCUGGCGUCCUUAGACAGCUCUUUGGUCUUGGUCACGAUUGAAUUUGGAGUCUGUUUGAGGCUGUGGACAGGUGUCUUUUAUACAGACAACGGAUUCAAACAGGUACCAUUACAGUUUUUCUCAAAUGCUAAAACACAAAAGCCAAUCCUCUAAACCAAAUGACCAGUUGUCUAAACACAUUUACUAAAUCUAGCCAUCAUUUUCCAAUAUCAUAAACACAUUUCACAUGAAGACACAAUUCACAAAACACAAUCCUCCAUUCACAUAAAUCUUAACACAUUUUUCCUUGCUAAAACACAAGUUGCAAAAGAACUCUGCUCAUAUUCUCAAAUGAAAGCUCAUGUGAUGCAAAAUGCUUGCCACAGUCAGCAAUAUUUGAACAAAAUGAACACACCUGGCGUCAUUCAUUACACACAACGACUCAAAAUUGAAAACACCUGUUGCUAAUGCUGUGACCACAUGUAUAAAAGCAAGUUCAGAGUGCACAGUUUGCUGAAGAUUCCAAACAAACACAAUGGAUGAAGGCAGAGUCAGGGGAAGAGGUAAUUGCAUCAGAGGAGGAAGAGGAGCAGGCCAGGGAGGAAGAGGAGCAGGCCAGGGAGGAAGAGGAGCAGGCCAGGGAGGAAGAGGAGCAGGCCAACAAGGGAGAGAAGGUCCAGGAGGGAGAGCAAGACAACCUCGUACCAUCAUUACGGACGAGAUGCGAGCAACAGUCAUUGACCAUGUCAUUGUCCAUGGCAUGACAAUGGCUGAAGCAGGACUAAGAGUCCGUCCAAACCUGAGUAGGUUCACCGUGGCCACCAUUAUCAGGGCAUUCAGACAACACAACAGGUAUUGUACUCUAUUGCUUUCUUUGUCACAAUACAAUUUUACAAGCCUGUGAAAGUGUUCUAUUACAGUAGUUUCAAAUCAGUUGUCACUGUAUUGUAAAACAUGUCAAUUGACGACACGUUUCUUUCUUUAGAGUUGAAAGAAUGCCACAUAGAGGUGGGCGGGUUGCCAUAUUUACAGCGGCACAAGAAACCCCCAUUGUGGAUAUGGUUCGUGAGAACAACCUCAUCAGACUCCGGUAGAUCAGAGACAAAGUCAUUGACGAUAAUGUGAACUUUGAGGGCAUUGAUCAUGUCAGCUUGGCCACAAUAGACCGAGUUCUCCGGCGCCAAAAGAUGCGGAUGAAACAAGUCUAUAGGGUUCCCUUUGAGCGAAACUCUGCACGACACAAAGACCUACGUUACGAGUAUGUGCAAAGGAUAUUACAGUUGGACGCGGUGGCCAGACCUCAUGAGUACCUCUUCCUGGAUGAGGCUGGCUUCAAUCUGCACAAACGAAGGCAAAGAGGCCGUAUUAUCAUUGGCCAAAGAGCCAUCACUGAGGUUCCUGGCCAACGGGGGGGGGUGUAAUAUUACUCUUUGUGCGGCUAUGGGUUUGGAGGGGCUUGUCCACCGGCAGGCUGUCCUUGGGUCUUACAACACCCAACGUCUCCUAACCUUCCUAGAGGAGCUAAAAGAUAUCCUCCUGGACCACCAACAACACCAUCCUGGGCCCGAACAUCCCAUUUAUGUGAUCAUUUGGGACAAUGUACGCUUCCACACAACAUACCAAAUCAGUGAGUGGUUCACCACCAACAGUAACCACUUUUUAAACGUCUGUCUGCCACCCUACUCCCCUUUCCUGAACCCUAUAGAGGAGUUCUUCUCAUCGUGGAGAUGGAAGGUUUAUGACAGACGACCAUACACUAGAGAAAACCUCCUAAGGGCAAUGGAGCUGGCAUGUGUUGACAUCCCAGUGGAGAACUUCCAAGGGUGGAUGCGCCAUUCCAGGGCGUUUUUCCCACGGUGCCUGGCAAGAGACAAUAUAGCCUGUGAUGUGGAUGAGGUGAUGUGACCUGAUGCAGCUCAGCGACAUGAUGCCGCACAGUGAUUGUGGUGUAAAUACUGUAAAAUGAAUAAAAAAAAA
Long non-coding RNA from Fundulus heteroclitus (mummichog), 2360 nucleotides. RefSeq lists it as uncharacterized. The record is from RefSeq and is a predicted model, not a curated record. Lineage: Eukaryota; Metazoa; Chordata; Actinopteri; Cyprinodontiformes; Fundulidae. The transcript has 2 exons.